CUGAGUUACCGCUCUAUAACCCUUUGUGAACAUACCUAUAUGUUGCUUCGGCGGUCGGCCCCCCGGGCCCCCGGCCCCGCUCACGCGGGGCGUCCGCCGGAGGAUAACCAAACUCUGAUUUAACGACGUUUCUUCUGAGUGGCACAAGCAAAUAAUCA
This 158-nucleotide unclassified non-coding RNA is filed under the name uncultured fungus. RNAcentral describes it as "sequence contains ITS1". Lineage: Eukaryota; Fungi. The record is from RNAcentral.